CAGCGAGAAAUUGCUGCUAAUACCGGAUAAUGACGUAAGUCCAAAGAUUUAUCGCCAAGGGAUGAGCCCGCGUAGGAUUAGCUAGUUGGUGUGGUAAAGGCGCACCAAGGCGACGAUCCUUAGCUGGUCUGAGAGGAUGAUCAGCCACACUGGGACUGAGACACGGCCCAGACUCCUACGGGAGGCAGCAGUGGGGAAUAUUGGACAAUGGGCGAAAGCCUGAUCCAGCAAUGCCGCGUGAGUGAUGAAGGCCUUAGGGUUGUAAAGCUCUUUUACCCGGGAAGAUAAUGACUGUACCGGGAGAAUAAGCUCCGGCUAACUCCGUGCCAGCAGCCGCGGUAAUACGGAGGGAGCUAGCGUUGUUCGGAAUUACUGGGCGUAAAGCGCACGUAGGCGGCUUUGUAAGUUAGAGGUGAAAGCCUGGAGCUCAACUCCAGAAUUGCCUUUAAGACUGCAUCGCUUGAAUCC
RNAcentral lists this ribosomal RNA (468 nucleotides) under Sphingomonas sp. Sand_R2A_F4. RNAcentral describes it as "bacterial SSU rRNA". It matches the Rfam family "Bacterial small subunit ribosomal RNA", at positions 147 to 649 of the family's 1533-position model. Lineage: Bacteria; Pseudomonadati; Pseudomonadota; Alphaproteobacteria; Sphingomonadales; Sphingomonadaceae. The record is from RNAcentral.